RNAcentral lists this non-coding RNA (185 nucleotides) under Armatimonadota bacterium. Its description in RNAcentral is "Armatimonadetes bacterium (hot springs metagenome) 6S RNA". It matches the Rfam family "6S / SsrS RNA". Rfam says of the family: E. coli 6S RNA was the first non coding RNA to be sequenced, but its function was unknown until recently. It consists of 184 nucleotides that fold into an extended hairpin structure with a large single-stranded internal bulge. The 6S RNA specifically associates with RNA polymerase holoenzyme containing the sigma70 specificity factor. The record is from RNAcentral. Lineage: Bacteria; Bacillati; Armatimonadota.
UCCGCCCUGCGGUACUCGUGAUGGUGUUGGGAGUUUUGAGCCAGCAACUCAAAGUCUAGGGAGUCUCGGUCCUGAAGCUGAAGUGGUGACCCGGGUUCACCGGGUGUCGCAAGGCCAAGGCCAGGCAUCCGCCCGUGUUACGCGGGUUCUAAGACGCCCUACCACACGGUACACGCGGGGCGUUU